This 364-nucleotide ribosomal RNA is filed under the name Ammonia sp. 106. RNAcentral's name for it is "partial 28S ribosomal RNA". The record is from RNAcentral. Lineage: Eukaryota; Foraminifera; Rotaliida; Rotaliidae.
CGUAAUAAUAGAAACUAACCAGGAUUCCCUUAGUAACGGCGAGUGAACUGGGAUACCAACAAAAUACAUGUGCCUCGCGCGCAUGAUUUAGCCCGUCGAUACUAUCCUAGCAUAUUACCGGUCUCGGCCGGUAACCCAAUAUGCGGGAAUUGUAGCAUCGUAAUAAAAAUAAAAUAUAUACACGCACACACACCCACCGCGUACAUUCUUGUAAACACACAGCGUCUCCGCGUUGGAAAGCAAGUUUAUAUCCUCUUUGGAUAUGCCAUAGAGUGUGACAGCCACGUUUCACUCAUAUAACCGUACGCACACACACACGCCCCGUGCACUAAUAUAUAUUUCUAUAACCUGAGUCGAGUUAUUU